Molecule: ribosomal RNA, 914 nt
Filed under: uncultured Bacteroidota bacterium
Lineage: Bacteria; Pseudomonadati; Bacteroidota
Description: bacterial SSU rRNA
Rfam family: Bacterial small subunit ribosomal RNA
Source: RNAcentral
GAGUUUGAUCCUGGCUCAGGACGAACGCUGGCGGCGGGCUUAACACAUGCAAGUCGAAGGAGAAGGUAAGUGCUUGCACUUACUGGAGACUGGCGGACGGGUGAGUAACGCGUAGAUAACCUGCCUAUAUCUGGGGGAUAACAUCUCGAAAGGGGUGCUAAUACCGCAUAAUGCAGCGGGGCCGCAUGGCCACAGUUGUUAAAGGUUUCGGCCGGAUAUAGAGGGGUCUGCGUACUAUUAGUUAGUUGGUAAGGUAACGGCUUACCAAGGCGAUGAUAGUUAGGGGGUCUGAGAGGAUGAUCCCCCACACUGGGACUGAGACACGGCCCAGACUCCUACGGGAGGCAGCAGUGAGGAAUCUUGCGCAAUGGGCGAAAGCCUGACGCAGCCACGCCGCGUGCCGGAAGACGGCCCUAUGGGUUGUAAACGGCUUUUGGAAGGGAAGAACGUACGGGUUUCGACUUGUAGUGACGGUACCUUCUGAAUAAGCACCGGCUAACUCCGUGCCAGCAGCCGCGGUAAUACGGAGGGUGCAAGCGUUGUCCGGAAUCAUUGGGUGUAAAGGGUGCGUAGGUGGGAGCCUAAGUCUGUGGUGAAAUCUUGCCGCUUAACGGUAAAAUUGCCAUGGAUACUGGGUUUCUUGAGUACAGAAGAGGUCGGUGGAAUUCGUAGUGGAGCGGUGAAAUGCAUAGAUAUUACGAAGAACAUCAGUGGCGAAGGCGGCCGGCUGGACUGUAACUGACACUGAGGCACGAAAGCGUGGGGAGCGAACAGGAUUAGAUACCCUGGUAGUCCACGCUGUAAACGAUGCAUACUAGGUGUUGGCCCUUUGGGGCCAGUGCUGCAGUUAACGCAGUAAGUAUGCCACCUGGGGAGUACGUCGGCAACGAUGAAACUCAAAGGAAUUGACUGGA